Molecule: ribosomal RNA, 639 nt
Filed under: Cymbidium cyperifolium var. szechuanicum
Lineage: Eukaryota; Viridiplantae; Streptophyta; Magnoliopsida; Asparagales; Orchidaceae
Description: eukaryotic LSU rRNA
Rfam family: 5.8S ribosomal RNA (bases 226-381)
Source: RNAcentral
UCAAGACUGAAACACAUCGAGCGAUUCAGAACUCGUGAAGCCAGCGGCAGCGAUGACCAUCCUAGCCAUCGCCUCGUCCCCUCCUGGGAGGGGCACGGGGGGCACGACCAGGGACAGAUGAAACAUAAACUGGAAUAGCUCCGUGCCAAGGGAAAAUUGAAAGGCACGGUCCCCGCAUCGGGCUCGAUGGCGUGGAGCACCGUCAUGCUCCAUGCGGAUGGACACGACUCUCAGCAAUGGAUAUCUCGACUCUCGCAUCGAUGAAGAGCAUAACGAAAUGCGAUACGUGGUGCGAAUUGCAGAAUACUGCGAACCAUCAAGUCUUUGAACGCAAGUUGCGCCCGAGGCUAGCCAGCCGAGGGCACGUCCACCUGGGCGUCAAGCAUCACGUCGCUCCGUGCCAACUCCAUCGCCCUGAUGGGUGCGUGUCAGCCGAGGCACGGAUGCGCAGGGUGGCCCGUCGUGCCCUCCGGCGUGGUGGGCUGAAGAGUCGGUCAUCGUCUCGCUGGCUGCGUGCAACGAGGGGUGGGUGAAAGCUGUGAGCACAACCCGCGUUGUCUCGUGCGGAGCUUGAGAGAACGACGGUGCCCAUGAGGCGAUCCCAACCCAUGCGCCGAUCUGCAUGCGACGGCUUGGAAU